This 73-nucleotide transfer RNA is filed under the name Methanobacteriota archaeon. Its description in RNAcentral is "Euryarchaeota archaeon (groundwater metagenome) tRNA-Asp". It matches the Rfam family "tRNA". From Rfam's summary of the family: Transfer RNA (tRNA) molecules are approximately 80 nucleotides in length. Their secondary structure includes four short double-helical elements and three loops (D, anti-codon, and T loops). Lineage: Archaea; Methanobacteriati; Methanobacteriota. The record is from RNAcentral.
GCCCUGGUAGUGUAGCGGUCUAUCAUGGAGCCCUGUCGAGGCUCCGACUCGGGUUCAAAUCCCGACCAGGGCG